This 1012-nucleotide ribosomal RNA is filed under the name Candidatus Regiella insecticola. RNAcentral's name for it is "bacterial SSU rRNA". It matches the Rfam family "Bacterial small subunit ribosomal RNA", at positions 61 to 1061 of the family's 1533-position model. Lineage: Bacteria; Pseudomonadati; Pseudomonadota; Gammaproteobacteria; Enterobacterales; Enterobacteriaceae. The record is from RNAcentral.
GUCGAGCGGCAGCGGGGAGUAGCUUGCUACUCUGCCGGCGAGCGGCGGACGGGUGAGUAAAGUCUGGGGAUCUGGCUUAUGGAGGGGGGUAACCAUUGGAAACGGUGGCUAAUACCGCAUGAUGUCGCAAGACCAAAGUGGGGGACUUUAGGGCCUCACGCCAUAAGAUGAACCCAGAUGAGAUUAGCUAGUAGGUGCGGUAAUGGCGUACCUAGGCGACGAUCUCUAGCUGGUCUGAGAGGAUGACCAGCCACACUGGAACUGAGAAACGGUCCAGACUCCUACGGGAGGCAGCAGUGGGGAAUAUUGCACAAUGGGCGGAAGCCUGAUGCAGCCAUGCCGCGUGUGUGAAGAAGGCCUUAGGGUUGUAAAGCACUUUCAGCGGGGAGGAAGGCGGUAAGAGUAAUAUGCUUAUCGAUUGACGUUACCCGCAAAAGAAGCACCGGCUAACUCCGUGCCAGCAGCCGCGGUAAUACGGAGGGUGCGAGCGUUAAUCGGAAUAACUGGGCGUAAAGGGCAUGUAGGCGGUAAGUUAAGUCAGAUGUGAAAUCCCCGAGCUUAACUUGGGAACGGCAUUUGAGACUGGCGGGCUAGAGUUUUGUAGAGGGGGGUAGAAUUCCAGGUGUAGCGGUGAAAUGCGUAGAGAUCUGGAGGAAUACCGGUGGCGAAGGCGGCCCCCUGGACAAGGACUGACGCUGAGGUGCGAAAGCGUGGGUAGCAAACAGGAUUAGAUACCCUGGUAGUCCACGCUGUAAACGAUGUCGAUUUGGAGGUUGUGGCCUAGUGUUAUGGCGUCCGAAGCUAACGCGAUAAAUCGACCGCCUGGGGAGUACNGCCGCAAGGUUAAAACUCAAAUGAAUUGANGGGGGCCCGCACAAGCGGUGGAGCAUGUGGUUUAAUUCNNUGCAACGCGAAGAANCUUACCUACUCUUGACAUCCACGGAAUUGAGCAGAGAUGCUUAAGUNGCCUUCGGGAGCCGUGAGACAGGUGCUGCAUGGCUGUCGUCAGCUC